UCCNGCCAUACACUCUUCCUACCUACAUGU
This 30-nucleotide non-coding RNA is filed under the name Mus musculus (house mouse). Lineage: Eukaryota; Metazoa; Chordata; Mammalia; Rodentia; Muridae. The record is from RNAcentral.